AUGAACGCUAGCGACAGGCCUAACACAUGCAAGUCGAGGGGCAGCACAAGGAGCAAUCUGAGGUGGCGACCGGCGCACGGGUGGGUAACACGUAUGCAACCUGCCUGUAAGCGGGGAAUAACCCGUUGAAAGACGGACUAAUACCGCAUAAUACUAAAUUACUGCAUGGUAAUUUAUUUAAACAUUUAUGGCUUACAGAUGGGCAUGCGCAUGAUUAGCUAGUUGGAGAGGUAACGGCUCCCCAAGGCAACGAUCAUUAGGGGUUCUGAGAGGAAGGUCCCCCACACUGGUACUGAGACACGGACCAGACUCCUACGGGAGGCAGCAGUGAGGAAUAUUGGUCAAUGGACGAGAGUCUGAACCAGCCAAGUCGCGUGCAGGAAGAAUGUUCCCUAUGGAUUGUAAACUGCUUUUGCAGGGGAAUAAAGUGCAUCACGUGUGAUGUUUUGUAUGUACUCUGCGAAUAAGGAUCGGCUAACUCCGUGCCAGCCGCCGC
This 496-nucleotide ribosomal RNA is filed under the name uncultured bacterium. RNAcentral's name for it is "bacterial SSU rRNA". It matches the Rfam family "Bacterial small subunit ribosomal RNA", at positions 29 to 518 of the family's 1533-position model. The record is from RNAcentral.